This is a long non-coding RNA of Pongo pygmaeus (Bornean orangutan), 418 nucleotides long. RefSeq lists it as uncharacterized. The transcript is spliced from 3 exons. NCBI's taxonomy places the organism in Eukaryota, Metazoa, Chordata, Mammalia, Primates, Hominidae. The record is from RefSeq and is a predicted model, not a curated record.
AAUCCUUCGGGGCGCACCUCUCAAUGUGCACGUGCUGCUCCUGCUUCGGGCCGAUGACGUCGGGAAUGCUCAUCGACUUGAGCGCGAAGAAAUGCUUGUCCGUCUUCUCCUUCACCGGCUGAUUCACAACUCAAGUAGCACAGUGAGGGUGGACAAUUGGGACUGCCUAAGCAUCCCAGCAUCGCCUGUUCUACAUAUCACUGUUCCCAGUGGCAUGCUGCUGUGUUUGUGAAUCCAGCCUCCCACAGUGGGAAGUGUAGAGAGCUGUUGAGCCCUGUUUCCAAAUCCCCAGGUGAAGCUGCGCUGACAGGCCUUCUGUCCAUACAGCCCUUUCCAAGACUCAGCUAUUCGUGAUCACCCCCAAAUGUUACCCUGAUUCUAUUACCAAUUUGUAAUAAAACUCACUUGUAUGGUGGAA